AUUGAACGCUGGCGGCAGGCCUAACACAUGCAAGUCGAGCGGUAGAGAGGUGCUUGCAUCUCUUGAGAGCGGCGGACGGGUGAGUAAUGCCUAGGAAUCUGCCUAGUGGUGGGGGAUAACGUUCGGAAACGGACGCUAAUACCGCAUACGUCCUACGGGAGAAAGCGGGGGAUCUUCGGACCUCGCGCCAUUAGAUGAGCCUAGGUCGGAUUAGCUAGUUGGUGAGGUAAUGGCUCACCAAGGCGACGAUCCGUAACUGGUCUGAGAGGAUGAUCAGUCACACUGGAACUGAGACACGGUCCAGACUCCUACGGGAGGCAGCAGUGGGAAUAUUGGGACAAUGGGCGAAAGCCUGAUCCAGCCAUGCCGCGUGUGUGAAGAAGGUCUUCGGAUUGUAAGGCACUUUAAGUUGGGAGGAAGGGUAGUAACCUAAUACGUUGCUACUUUGACGUUACCGACAGAAUAAGCACCGGCUAACUUCGUGCCAGCACG
RNAcentral lists this ribosomal RNA (492 nucleotides) under uncultured bacterium. Its description in RNAcentral is "bacterial SSU rRNA". It matches the Rfam family "Bacterial small subunit ribosomal RNA", at positions 30 to 515 of the family's 1533-position model. The record is from RNAcentral.